UGGAGUGUUCCCCAUGCCUACCAGAACUAGAAGCAUUCCUCCGCGAAAAUGCUCCAACGGCACCAGAAAACCUGUCCCGAAUAUCCUGUCCCAUUGAUGUCCUUCCCGGUCUUUCAGCAGAUGGCACAGCAUUUAGCGGCGCACUUCCACCAAUAUUACGUCCUCUAGAGCUAGCACCGAUCUGAGGAUACUUCAAAAUGGUCCAAUCAAACACAUAGUCAAACUGAUAACCUUCACGAAUAAACAAG
Molecule: unclassified non-coding RNA, 248 nt
Filed under: Hevea brasiliensis (rubber tree)
Lineage: Eukaryota; Viridiplantae; Streptophyta; Magnoliopsida; Malpighiales; Euphorbiaceae
Source: RNAcentral